This is a long non-coding RNA of Balaenoptera musculus (blue whale), 253 nucleotides long. RefSeq lists it as uncharacterized. The transcript has 3 exons. NCBI's taxonomy places the organism in Eukaryota, Metazoa, Chordata, Mammalia, Artiodactyla, Balaenopteridae. The record is from RefSeq and is a predicted model, not a curated record.
CCCGGGUCCCCUCCAGCACGGCGGGAGCGAGCUUCAAAGUGAGGCUAGCCUGAGCCGGAGGGAGCAGCAGGACACCCCGCAGGAGACGGCCGUGGACAGCAGCCUGAGCUGCAUCUGUAAGUUCCUUCCCAGCGAGGCCCAGGGCUCACAGUGCCAGGUAGGCACCCCUGCCCUAGCGCCCUCUCUGCUCUCCAGUUCCUGACGCUGUGCGCGCUGGCCCAGCCAGGGGCCUACGCCGAUGGGAGCCUCUUGG